CCUACGGGAGGCAGCAGUGAGGAAUAUUGGUCAAUGGCCGGAAGGCUGAACCAGCCAAGCCGCGUGAAGGACGAAGGUGCCAAGCAUUGUAAACUUCUUUUGUCAAGGGACAAAAUCCGGCUCGAGAGCCUGACCGAGGGUACUUGAAGAAAAAGCCUCGGCUAACCCCGUGCCAGCCGCCGCGGUAAUACGGAGGAUGCGAGCGUUAUUCGGGUGUAUUGGGUUUAAAGGGUGCGUAGGCGGACUGUUAAGUCAGCGGUAAAAGCCCGGGGCUCAACCCCUGCGCGCCGUUGAAACUGGCUGUCUUGAGAGGACGAGAGGUAUGCGGAAUGCGUAGUGUAGCGGUGAAAUGCUUAGAUAUUGCGCAGAACUCCGAUUGCGAAGGCAGCAUACCGGCGGCGAUCUGACGCUGAGGCACGAAAGCGUGGGUAUCGAACAGGAUUAGAUACCCGGGUAGUC
RNAcentral lists this ribosomal RNA (459 nucleotides) under uncultured bacterium. RNAcentral's name for it is "partial 16S ribosomal RNA". It matches the Rfam family "Bacterial small subunit ribosomal RNA", at positions 338 to 795 of the family's 1533-position model. The record is from RNAcentral.